RNAcentral lists this ribosomal RNA (815 nucleotides) under Phyllodistomum spinopapillatum. RNAcentral describes it as "partial large subunit ribosomal RNA". It matches the Rfam family "Eukaryotic large subunit ribosomal RNA", at positions 411 to 850 of the family's 3401-position model. The record is from RNAcentral. Lineage: Eukaryota; Metazoa; Platyhelminthes; Trematoda; Plagiorchiida; Gorgoderidae.
AGAGGUAAACGGGUGGAGUUGAACUGCAUGCUCCGUGAAUUCAGCUGGUGAGAUUGUUGUGGGCUUGGUCAUGUGGGGUGGACAAUGAGGUAUGCUUAGCUGCAUGUCCCGGCCGGCUGGUUGGGAUGCGCGAUACGCUCAUCAUGCGUUGCGCGCCUCUGCUGUUCAUCUGCCCUCUCGCCAGUGCAUUUUCGCGGAGUGUUCACCAAGACCGGCGUUGCUGUCCGGCUGCUUUAGUUAAACCGGUCUUACGCGUCCUUGUGGCGUUGUUUGGUCGGGACGGCAGGUAGCCCGUUGGCUUGCUUUGCAUGCUUUCGUGUGUAAUCAGCUGACUAAAGCGGGACUGUGCAGUACGUCGGAGCUGGCGGCCAGUUGUGCCUGCUCGUGCGUCAUGCCUUCCGAAGCAUCCAGUUCUGAUCGCCAUGUUGCCUGUCUCGGCAGGUCUGGUGGUGGACAGGGUUCUAUUGGUUGGUGGUUCCUCGGGUAGCACUUUAUAGAGCCAAUAGUCUUUGGUGUCGUGGUAGACUAUCCACCUGACCCGUCUUGAAACACGGACCAAGGAGAGUAACAUGUGCGCGAGUCAUUGGGCGUAACGAAACCCAAAGGCGCAGUGAAAGUAAAGGUCUGACUUGUUCAGUCUGAGGUGAGAUCCUGUUGUUUCUCAUGCCUGGUACCACCAAGCUUGGAGCGACAGGCGCAUCACCGGCCCGUCCCAUGAUGUAGACACGGUCAUUGUACUCGUGCACCGUCGGGGCGGAGCAUGAGCGCACAUGUUGAGACCCGAAAGAUGGUGAACUAUGCUUGCGCAGGUUGAA